Lineus longissimus is the source of this 353-nucleotide long non-coding RNA. RefSeq lists it as uncharacterized. The record is from RefSeq and is a predicted model, not a curated record. Lineage: Eukaryota; Metazoa; Nemertea; Pilidiophora; Heteronemertea; Lineidae. The transcript has 3 exons.
CUGGACACCACAAUAUGCCCGAACCACCGAUACAAGUUGAGUUUAUCAUGGAAUCAGCAAAGGAGAUGCCAGCACCCACUUCAUCAACCCUCUAAAACAAGUCGGAAGCCCAGAAAAGAUGGUGGUUCAGUUCAUCGAGUGAUGUCUCGGGAAAUAUACAUCAAGUGGGGAGUUUUUGUCCCAGUUGGCUCAGCUCUGUGUAAAGGAUGUGAGGCUAAACAUCGAGUAUCUGUGGCAAAUGUAGAACCAGAAGUAGAACCAGCACCCAUGGAUACAGAGUCCGCUGUUGCCUCUUCCUCUGUUCAACCAGCCGACGCCUUAGAAAACCCAGCAGACGGGACAGAAGGGCAAUC